UACGUAGGGGGCAAGCGUUGUCCGGAAUCAUUGGGCGUAAAGAGCGUGUAGGCGGCUCGAUAAGUCUGCUGUGAAAGUCCAGGGCUCAACCCUGGAAGGCCGGUGGAAACUGUCGGGCUAGAGUCCGGAAGAGGCGAGUGGAAUUCCCGGUGUAGCGGUGAAAUGCGCAGAUAUCGGGAGGAACACCAAUGGCGAAGGCAGCUCGCUGGGACAGUACUGACGCUGAGGUGCGAAAGCGUGGGGAGCAAACAGG
Molecule: ribosomal RNA, 253 nt
Filed under: uncultured bacterium
Lineage: Bacteria
Description: partial 16S ribosomal RNA
Rfam family: Bacterial small subunit ribosomal RNA
Source: RNAcentral